Ribosomal RNA from Dendrobium catenatum, 119 nucleotides. The record is from RefSeq and is a predicted model, not a curated record. NCBI's taxonomy places the organism in Eukaryota, Viridiplantae, Streptophyta, Magnoliopsida, Asparagales, Orchidaceae.
AUGUGCGACCAUAACAGCACCAUGGCACCGGAUCCUAUCAGAACUCCGCAGUUAAGCGUGCUCGGGCGAGAGUAGUACUGGGGUGGGUGGCCUCUUGGGAAGUCCUCGUGUUACACCCC